AGCGGUAGCACAGGGGAGCUUGCUCCCUGGGUGACGAGCGGCGGACGGGUGAGUAAUGUCUGGGAAACUGCCUGAUGGAGGGGGAUAACUACUGGAAACGGUAGCUAAUACCGCAUAACGUCGCAAGACCAAAGAGGGGGACCUUCGGGCCUCUUGCCAUCAGAUGUGCCCAGAUGGGAUUAGCUAGUAGGUGGGGUAAUGGCUCACCUAGGCGACGAUCCCUAGCUGGUCUGAGAGGAUGACCAGCCACACUGGAACUGAGACACGGUCCAGACUCCUACGGGAGGCAGCAGUGGGGAAUAUUGCACAAUGGGCGCAAGCCUGAUGCAGCCAUGCCGCGUGUGUGAAGAAGGCCUUCGGGUUGUAAAGCACUUUCAGCGAGGAGGAAGGUGGUGAGCUUAAUACGCUCAUCAAUUGACGUUACUCGCAGAAGAAGCACCGGCUAACUCCGUGCCAGCAGCCGCGGUAAUACGGAGGGUGCAAGCGUUAAUCGGAAUUACUGGGCGUAAAGCGCACGCAGGCGGUUUGUUAAGUCAGAUGUGAAAUCCCCGGGCUCAACCUGGGAACUGCAUUUGAAACUGGCAAGCUAGAGUCUCGUAGAGGGGGGUAGAAUUCCAGGUGUAGCGGUGAAAUGCGUAGAGAUCUGGAGGAAUACCGGUGGCGAAAGCGGCCCCCUGGACGAAGACUGACGCUCAGGUGCGAUAGCGUGGGGAACAAACAGGAUUAUAUACCCUGGU
Molecule: ribosomal RNA, 737 nt
Filed under: Serratia marcescens
Lineage: Bacteria; Pseudomonadati; Pseudomonadota; Gammaproteobacteria; Enterobacterales; Yersiniaceae
Description: bacterial SSU rRNA
Rfam family: Bacterial small subunit ribosomal RNA
Source: RNAcentral